GCUCAGGAUGAACGCUGGCGGCGUGCUUAACACAUGCAAGUCGAACGAAGCGCUUAAACGGAUUUCUUCGGAUUGAAGUUUUUGCGACUGAGUGGCGGACGGGUGAGUAACGCGUGGGUAACCUGCCUCGUACAGGGGGAUAACAGUUAGAAAUGACUGCUAAUACCGCAUAAGCGCACAGUGCUGCAUGGCACAGUGUGAAAAACUCCGGUGGUAUGAGAUGGACCCGCGUCUGAUUAGCUAGUUGGUGGGGUAACGGCCUACCAAGGCGACGACCAGUAGCCGGCCUGAGAGGGUGAACGGCCACAUUGGGACUGAGACACGGCCCAAACUCCUACGGGAGGCAGCAGUA
Molecule: ribosomal RNA, 352 nt
Filed under: uncultured bacterium
Lineage: Bacteria
Description: bacterial SSU rRNA
Rfam family: Bacterial small subunit ribosomal RNA
Source: RNAcentral